RNAcentral lists this transfer RNA (91 nucleotides) under Ralstonia solanacearum. Its description in RNAcentral is "tRNA-Leu". It matches the Rfam family "tRNA". Rfam says of the family: Transfer RNA (tRNA) molecules are approximately 80 nucleotides in length. Their secondary structure includes four short double-helical elements and three loops (D, anti-codon, and T loops). Lineage: Bacteria; Pseudomonadati; Pseudomonadota; Betaproteobacteria; Burkholderiales; Burkholderiaceae. The record is from RNAcentral.
GCCCGAGUGGUGAAAUUGGUCGACACCGCGGACUUAAAAUCCGCUGCGCCCUCACCGCCGCGUGCCGGUCCGAUCCCGCCCUCGGGCACCA